UGGAAAGUUACCGCCUGACGUGACCAAAGCCUCACCGGGGCACUGGCAGCCAAGAGGGAAGCGGAGGGCAGGCAAGAUGGAUCUUGGAUUCUCUGGAGCUAGAUGAUCUGGCCCCCGUCCUGUCCUCCAGCCCCACCCACCUCGGCUCCAUGCCCCCCCCAGUCAGCUUCGGGACCCUGGCAGUGAGCAGGCACGUGGCAGCCAAGGCCCUGUGACCAGGCCAGGGAGACGGAGCUCUGGGGUCCCAGUCACCUGCCCCCCCAUGGAGCUGAGACCCUGGUUGCUAUGGGUGGUAGCAGCAGCAGGAGCCUUGGUCCUGCUAGCAGCUGAAGCUCGCGGCCAGAAGAUCUUCACCAACACGUGGGCUGUGCACAUUUCUGGAGGCCCAGCUGUGGCUGAUAGUGUGGCACGGAAGCAUGGGUUCCACAACCUGGG
RNAcentral lists this long non-coding RNA (435 nucleotides) under Rattus norvegicus (Norway rat). RNAcentral's name for it is "long non-coding RNA NONRATT002816". Lineage: Eukaryota; Metazoa; Chordata; Mammalia; Rodentia; Muridae. The record is from RNAcentral.